Molecule: ribosomal RNA, 498 nt
Filed under: uncultured bacterium
Lineage: Bacteria
Description: partial 16S ribosomal RNA
Rfam family: Bacterial small subunit ribosomal RNA
Source: RNAcentral
AUUGAACGCUGGCGGCAUGCCUUACACAUGCAAGUCGAACGGUAACGGGCCUUCGGGUGCCGACGAGUGGCGAACGGGUGAGUAAUACAUCGGAACGUGCCCGAUCGUGGGGGAUAACGAGGCGAAAGCUUUGCUAAUACCGCAUACGAUCUACGGAUGAAAGCAGGGGACCGCAAGGCCUUGCGAGGACGGAGCGGCCGAUGGCAGAUUAGGUAGUUGGUGGGAUAAAAGCUUACCAAGCCGACGAUCUGUAGCUGGUCUGAGAGGAUGAUCAGCCACACUGGGACUGAGACACGGCCCAGACUCCUACGGGAGGCAGCAGUGGGGAAUUUUGGACAAUGGGCGCAAGCCUGAUCCAGCCAUGCCGCGUGCAGGAUGAAGGCCUUCGGGUUGUAAACUGCUUUUGUACGGAACGAAAAGCCUUCUUCUAAUACAGGAGGGUCAUGACGGUACCGUAAGAAUAAGCACCGGCUAACUACGUGCCAGCCGCCGCAGUAA